CUGUGGAGGUCCACUCGUGUGAAGGAACUGGGCAGAGGCUUAGGUUUCUUGGGUUGGAUUGGGCUGAAUUGGCGGGAAAUCAGCAAUUGGUUUCUAAAUCCUGGACAUCGAGGGUUUUUGUUUCAGACGCGACGGUGGCAUUGACAGUGGUUUGACAGGUCCUGGACGUGACAGGCGGAAGUCAGUGGUGGGUGCCCGUCUGUGCGUGUCCAAGGCCUGUGGCAGCAGGAGGCCCUCUUCCGUGGACCACCUGGGACAGAUUGAGAUGAUGGAGUUCAUUACCAAAAGGAGCAAAAUUGUUCUCGAGCCGUGUCCCCUGGUUCCAAGGGAGGUGUGUGGUAAUGGAAUGACGGAGAGAGUGGACGUUGGUUACAGAAAACGACUUUAUUUUCGUUAGUGACGGAGCUGUCUUUCCAGCUGUGAGGAAAGAAGGCCGAGGCUGAGUUAGUGGCACUUCCCAGCGCUUGGGCACAGGUCAUUGUGGCCUUGGCUGACUGACAGCAUCCCCUGACACCUGCUGGGCCUGGGCAAGAGGACGGAGCCGAGACAGCUGCACCGCCCGGCACCGCAACGGCAGCGCCCGGGAGCCGCCUCAGGCUCCUGCA
Molecule: long non-coding RNA, 605 nt
Filed under: Oryctolagus cuniculus (rabbit)
Lineage: Eukaryota; Metazoa; Chordata; Mammalia; Lagomorpha; Leporidae
Description: lncRNA (ENSOCUG00000039552.1)
Source: RNAcentral